AGAGGAUUGGCUGAGUGGUUUAUAGCGGUAAGCUUGAAACUUAUUUAAUAUUGUUAUUACAUCAGUUCGAAUCUGAUAUCCUCUG
This is a non-coding RNA of Exophiala bonariae, 85 nucleotides long. NCBI's taxonomy places the organism in Eukaryota, Fungi, Ascomycota, Eurotiomycetes, Chaetothyriales, Herpotrichiellaceae. The record is from the annotation of a RefSeq genome assembly.